This is a long non-coding RNA of Marmota monax (woodchuck), 850 nucleotides long. RefSeq lists it as uncharacterized. The record is from RefSeq and is a predicted model, not a curated record. Lineage: Eukaryota; Metazoa; Chordata; Mammalia; Rodentia; Sciuridae. The transcript is spliced from 4 exons.
UUUAGGAAGAGAGGUAACACACCGACUGUGUGAUCCGACCGCAAACUAUAAAGAAGGCGAUGCGCCUUGCAGGCUCAGAAAGUUGACUAACCAGGGGCAUGCUCCAUGCCCUCCUUUAGGAAAGGGAGAGUGUGGUUGGCAGAACCAAAAAUACGAAAAAUCCAUUCAAGAAUUUCCUGAUGGCCUACCGUGCGGACGUACGAAGCAAGUUAGACGCUGAGAAGUAAAGGAAAGAGACAGAGUUCACCGACAGACUGAUAAUGAUCUACCAGCUCCAGGAGGGGGCCCCAAACUUGGGGAGCUUCUGACUCCUCUGUGGAUUUGGGGAGGAGGUGCCGAGCGGACUCUGGUCCUCCUGCAGCAGCCCUUCCAGCAUGCUUGGGGCAGCUAAGGCUCAGGCCUGGCGUUCCGCAACAGAAACUCCCUUCCACAUGGUUGCCGGAGAGCGACCCGCCAAGCAGCCCUGAGGCCAUGCGGUUGGGGGCCGCGGAGUGCUUAAACCCGGUGCACGUUCAAGACACGAAACUAGAGCAGAGGAGGCCAGGAGCUGGGUGAGGGGUGAAGUUACUCACAUAGAAGAAGGAGAUGGGACCAGCGUGGAAGCUAAUUACAAUCCCUAAGAUACAAGUCAGCUGGGACAGCAUGAUGUGCAGAGCGACAGCAGCUAGGACGUUGAUCAUCAGAGCACUCACAAGGAAGAAGGGACCUACGGGAGAAGAUAUUAGACAGAAGACUUUCUUAUUUGCAAGUGGCCAUAGAAGGAUCUGGGAAGUAAGAAAGAGCAGGGAAGAGGAUAAUGACUCCACAUACUGUCACCAACUCAUAGGAUUUAGAUGCUGGUGGUCCAGGU